CACCACGCCCAUCCAAUUUUUGUGGUUUUUUAGUAGAGAUGGGGUUCGCCGUGUUGCCCAGGCUGGUGUCGAACUCCUGAGCUCAGGCAAUCUACCUGCCUCAGCCUCCUAAAGUGCUGGGAUUACAGGCAUGAGCCACUGCACCCGGCCAGUCUCAGGUAUUCUUUACAGCAGUGUGAAAUGGGCUAACAUAGAUGGCCAUUAAGAAGGCAGAUAAAGCAGGACAAGGAAGUGAAACAAGCCAAACAAGAGAAACGUAACCAAUAUCGGAUAUAGAUAUAGAUAGGUAAGUAGAUAGAUUAUAGAUAGAUGAUAGAUUAAGAGAUCAAUAGAUGUGCAGAUAUAUAUAAAGAAAUUUAUUAUAAGGAAUUGUUUCAUUCCAUUAUAAAAGCUGAGAAGUCCUAUGAUCUGUCUUCUGCAAGCCGGAGACCCAGAGAAACCAGUGGUAUAGCUCUAGUCCAAGUCUGAAGACCUGAGAACCAAGAAAAUGAUAUGAGCCCCAGUCUGUGGGUAGAAGACUGAUGUCCCAGCUCAAAGAGGCAGGGCUGGUGCGUGAACAUAUAAGAAAAGAAAAAAUGCCAGCUGAGAGGAGGUUUCGGAUGGAGAUGUAUGUUUUGAGGCCGAAAGCCAGACACCAGCUUUCUAAGAGAAGAAUCUGGUUCAGCAUCUCACAAAAGAUCAAAGUAUAAUUUAACCAGGUGAGAGGAGCUUUGCAAACUCCUGCCUCUUCACCAAAGCAAGGAGGGCUAUUCAGGUAGACUUUUCCUUUGCAAGACUAGAAGCCCUGAGUCUCCUGUCUCCUGAAUUAGUGAUUUGGUUGCAGAUUUUUUUCACUCUACAUAUAGACCAAACAAAAGUUAGAUAACUGCAUUAUUUAUGAUUCUUUUGAUUAUAAGCAAGAGAACUCAAGUUGAGAGAACUUACGCAAAAGGGAAUUUACCAAAAGAUUUGGGGCACUCACAAAAGGCUGAACAAAUAACUUGGAAAUGGGCAAGAACCACAGAAGGGUCCAGAAGAAGCCUGUGCUGAAAUAAGUCAGUUUCAACAGGCUAUUCUGUCUUUGCAUUACUCACUCAAAACUCGUAAUCCCAACAGAGAGUGUCAAAUUGGCUGAGUUGAGAUUAUGUGUCUGGGCCUGCUACACCAGGGCAAUUUAAGAGAAAGAGUCCAGGGAAGGAACACGCAGUAACUCCUUCAGCUUCUGUGAUGGAAGGGUGAGUACCUAGAUUUACAGACACAACAAGACUGUCUGCAAAGGGGCGUGUAUGUUCGCAGGUAGGGGAUGCAGAUUUCCCAAAAAAGAAACUCUGGGGCCGAACUCGUUGGCUCACGCCUGUAAUCUCAGCACUUUAGGAGGCCGAGGCAGGCGGAUCACGAGGUCAGGAGAUGGAGACCACCCUGGCCAACAUAGUGAAACCCAUCUCUACUAAAAAUACAAAAAUUAGCUGGGUGUGGUGGCAUGCACCUGUAAUCACACCUGCUAAGGAGGCUGAGGCAGGAGAAUCACCUGAACCUGGCAGGCGGAGGUUGCAGUGAGCCGAGAUUGCACCACUGCACUCCAGUCUGGGUGACAGAGUGAGGCUCCAUUUAAAAAAAAAAAAAAAAACAAAACUGAAGUUCCAAUCCCUUUAUAACUGUAUUAAAUUUUCUCUACUAAAUCUGCUAGGGGCCAGAUGCUGUGGCUCAUGCCUAUAAUUCCAGCACUUUAGAGGGUUGAGGCAAAUGGAUCAUGAGGUCAAGAGAUCGAGACCAUCCUGGCCAACAUGGUGAAACUCCAUCUCUACUGAAAAUACAAAAAUUAGCUGGGCAUGGUGGCGCCCACCUGUAGUCCCAGCUACUUGGGAGGCUGAGGCAGGAGAAUCACUUGAACCCGGGAGGCAGAGGUUGCAGUGAGCUGAGAUCACGCCACUGCGCUCCAGCCUGGUAACACAGCAAGACUCCAACUUAAAAAAAAGAAAAAAAGUUGUUUUAAGUUUAGAUAUUAAUUGUAAUCUCUAAGGCAAUCACAAAAUAACUCAAGGAAUGCUAAAAUAAAUUACAAGGGAAUAAAAAUGGUACAACAAAACAUAUUUGACAAUAUAGAAAAAAUAGGAAAAUGGCAAUUAUAAAGCCUCUUAUUCAUAAUUACAUUAAGUGUAAAUGGUUUAAACACUCAAAUCAAAGGCAGAUAUUGGCAAUAUUGAUGAAAACCAUGAUCCAACUAUAUUGUGUCUACAAGUAACACAUUUUAUUGUUAUUGUUAUUAUUAUUUUAUUUCAAUAGGUUUUUGGGGGAACAGGGAGUGUUUGGUUAUAUGAAUAAGUUCUUUAGUGGUGAUUUCUGAGAUUUUGC
This 2331-nucleotide long non-coding RNA is filed under the name Callithrix jacchus (white-tufted-ear marmoset). RNAcentral's name for it is "lncRNA (ENSCJAG00000080720.1)". Lineage: Eukaryota; Metazoa; Chordata; Mammalia; Primates; Cebidae. The record is from RNAcentral.